CCUACGGGUGGCAGCAGUGGGGAAUAUUGCGCAAUGGGCGAAAGCCUGACGCAGCGACGCCGCGUGAGGGAUGAAGGUCUUCGGAUCGUAAACCUCUGUCAGCAGGGAAGAACGGUCACUGUGCUAAUCAGCAGUGAAUUGACGGUACCUAAAUAAGAAGCCCCGGCUAACUACGUGCCAGCAGCCGCGGUAAUACGUAGGGGGCAAGCGUUAUCCGGAAUUACUGGGUGUAAAGGGAGAGUAGGCGGCAAGGUAAGCGAUAUGUGAAAGCCUUAGGCUUAACCUGAGGAUUGCAUAACGAACUAUCUAGCUAGAGUACAGGAGAGGAAAGCGGAAUUCCUAGUGUAGCGGUGAAAUGCGUAGAUAUUAGGAAGAACACCAGUGGCGAAGGCGGCUUUCUGGACUGAAACUGACGCUGAGGCUCGAAAGCGUGGGGAGCGAACAGGAUUAGAUACCCCAGUAGUC
Molecule: ribosomal RNA, 465 nt
Filed under: uncultured bacterium
Lineage: Bacteria
Description: partial 16S ribosomal RNA
Rfam family: Bacterial small subunit ribosomal RNA
Source: RNAcentral